Molecule: long non-coding RNA, 271 nt
Filed under: Lathyrus oleraceus (garden pea)
Lineage: Eukaryota; Viridiplantae; Streptophyta; Magnoliopsida; Fabales; Fabaceae
Description: Pisum sativum (pea) long non-coding RNA (PSAT_LNC023357)
Source: RNAcentral
ACGUUAGACUCACAUCCUUACUCUUGGAGACCUAAGGUGUUCGGGUCAUACCUAAGUUUUCAAACUUUCCCAAUGCCCCUAGUCCUAGCCUUUCUUCUCUCAAACUCUAUAUACUUUCUCACCUUCCCCACAACCUAAGCUUAUCAUAAAAAAAUCCACGGUCCUAGUAUUGGGAAAACUACGAAAAGUAGGUCUUAAUGCAUCAAUCAAACUAGAAAACUAGAAAAUAAGAAAGAAACAUGGACAUAAAAAUGCAAGAAAUAAAAGUGCA